AUUGUUUACCUGAAGUCAGGUUACCAUGGUUACUGAAGUUUUUCUCCUCAGCUCCAUGGCAAGAGGCCGGAUAGAGUAAAGUAUCCUACAGAACCACCAGAUUGCCUUGUGGAUUUUCCUGUUCCAUUUGCUGUUUCCUGGAUGCCACAGGUAACUACUUGUCCUGGUUUAGGGCAAAUUUGGGAGAAAACCUCCAAUGGGGCCCCUGCCCUGGGAAGCAAACCCACAUGGCCCCUUUCUCCCACCCCCCAACCGGUUCGGGAAGAGAUUUCUCUGAGAGAAGUGGAAAAAGCCUGUUUAUGUAACAGGCAAAGCACUACCCAGCACAACAAUGAACAAUAUCAAAUUACAAAACCUCUCGCCACUCUGAAGAGAUGACAAAAUUCAGAGGGUCUCUUUCCUGUGGAUGUUCGCUCUGUUAUCAAUCCCUCUGGCGCUGGAAAAUGCCGCUGCCCAGGCUGGGCUCCCGGUAGUCCACGGGUGCAACACGUCUCACAGUCAUGAAUAACCUGAGAAAUGCUGUUCAUGGGUAGAUCCACCCCUCGGUCUCGUGCCCACUUAUAGGUGGCAUCUCUACCCUGAUGACCCGAGGCAUCAUGAGCCCAUUGGGCUAGGAACAACUCUCCCUUAUGUUCCCAAUCCAAAUCUAUCUUUGACACUUCACAGAAGAAAUGCAUUUAAGAUACGCUUCUACCACCCAAGGCCUUGGAAAAAUGAAGGUCAAAGCACGUGCAGCUCCCUUUAUGGGUCAGUACAGUACUGUGUGAUCCAUCACUCUGCUCCAGGGGCCUGGAACAGAGACUAUGAGCUUCCACCAAAAUAAAGAGCCAAGCAACA
Molecule: long non-coding RNA, 837 nt
Organism: Poecile atricapillus (Black-capped chickadee)
Lineage: Eukaryota; Metazoa; Chordata; Aves; Passeriformes; Paridae
Exons: 2
Source: RefSeq, a predicted model, not a curated record